RNAcentral lists this ribosomal RNA (301 nucleotides) under uncultured bacterium. RNAcentral's name for it is "partial 16S ribosomal RNA". It matches the Rfam family "Bacterial small subunit ribosomal RNA", at positions 509 to 807 of the family's 1533-position model. The record is from RNAcentral.
CAGCCGCCGCGGGAAUACGAAGGGGGCUAGCGUUGUUCGGAAUUACUGGGCGUAAAGCGCACGUAGGCGGACAUUUAAGUCAGGGGUGAAAUCCCGGGGCUCAACCCCGGAACUGCCUUUGAUACUGGGUGUCUAAAGUAUGGAAGAGGUGAGUGGAAUUCCGAGUGUAGAGGUGAAAUUCGUAGAUAUUCGGAGGAACACCAGUGGCGAAGGCGGCUCACUGGUCCAUUACUGACGCUGAGGUGCGAAAGCGUGGGGAGCAAACAGGAUUAGAUACCCCAGUAGUCCCUGUCUCUUAUAC